Molecule: long non-coding RNA, 1428 nt
Organism: Scylla paramamosain (green mud crab)
Lineage: Eukaryota; Metazoa; Arthropoda; Malacostraca; Decapoda; Portunidae
Exons: 4
Source: RefSeq, a predicted model, not a curated record
AAAAUCAAAGUAGGUUAAGUUAGGCUAUAGUUAAACUGGACUUUUAUUUUUUUAAUAGGGAAUUAUUUUUUGGUAAAAUCUUCACGUCGAUGGCAUUUACCUUUGAGAGAGAGUGGGCAGCCCGAGGCAACAGUAGCAGCAGCAGCAGCAGCAGGCAGUGUGGCUGUACCAGAAUGACUACGUGACUGAAUGGAUGGGAUGAAGGGAACAUCGAGCAGCAGCAGCAGCAGCAGCAGUGUGGCUCGAAAACCUUCCUGCCGCGCUUCAGGUUAAUCGAGAUCUGGAAAUCCCAUCCUUCAGGCGGAGCGGCAAGGAGGGAUGCCCAUCUCCGCGGCACGACUAUCGGGCGAGGCUCUGAGCGGAGGCCUGCACACUGACAGCGGGCCAGGAACACCGAUCUGUUCUCCCUUUCACUAUGUUAAAGAUAGGCGCUUAAAUAAGAUCGAGUGUAAAUGUGGUUGCUUUAGUUGUUUCUUGUUUAUAGGAUUGCUUCUCUAUGUCUCCUAUAACAAAUAAGUCAAGGUUAGGGGAAAUCUUUUAUAGUUAACGUAUGUGGUUUUUACUUGAAUUAUCCCUAUUCAUCCACCUAUCUAUCGAUCUGCUCACAUCCUGACCAACUCUUUACAGAUAUGCAAAGGACAGGGAGUAGCAAGCAAAGGCCCGCCACUCCAGCCAUGCAAGUGCAGGGGUUAGGGGGGAUACAGUGCUUAGUAAAGGGCGGUAUCUCUUCCCGUUAUGUGCUGCGCCGCCCACGCCCUUCUCCCGCAUUCCUCCCCCACCUCGUUCAUGUGUCUCGGUGGGAGGGGCGGAGGGGAGCCUUCUCACUUCCUACCCCUCCAUUAUACUGUUGGUGAAGAUCUCCGGGAUGUUGUCGUUUACUAAAGGGGUGGCAGGAACAGGACCCCGCCUCCCUCGCAGCAUCGCCCUCACUCUAUCCACUGUAUUUAUGGGCGCACUUAACCUUCCCAGCCACUCUGGUCGUCUGCCUCGCCGCUGCACUCCACUGUCCCAUCCCGCUCCGGUUCACUUUUCAUCCUUCACGCCCUGGAGCAGCAGAUGACCUUCGGUUUCACUGCCCCGGAUGAAAUGUUAUUAUAAUUACACGGGAUGAAAAUGCUGGAGGGUGGCACAGAAUGGAAAAUUAAUUACGACAGGGCAAUCAGACCUUGUUACUGCCGCGGACUAAAAAAGAAUGAAUAUACCCGAAAUACUAAUCUUAUAAUUUAGAUUCUAAUUAAGACUAAUUUUGGCAUUCGUAAUAGGAAUGUAUCGUGUCGUCCCUUGGAGAUGGAGACAAAAAUCACUGUGUAUUUUUUUAUGAUUGUUUUGUUCCAUAUACAAGUAAAUAUUUCUGAUAACAUUGUACGUUAUCAUACUAUGUAUUUUUUUUAUAGUUUUUUGAUAUAUCAUUAAAUAUUUUUGAUAGCU